This 2317-nucleotide long non-coding RNA is filed under the name Gallus gallus (chicken). Lineage: Eukaryota; Metazoa; Chordata; Aves; Galliformes; Phasianidae. The record is from RNAcentral.
CUGUAGUUCCUGAUCUAGUGAGAAGUUUCACUCAGUCCUGGAGAAAACAUUUCAGUUGGUCUUUAUGUGAAAAAAGAAAAACAGGGUGAAAGGAAACCUCUGAGCAGAAAGUCAUCUCGCAGCAAAAUCCUUCCCAAGCAACUUAUUUUUUACAGUUCUAACCGAAUUCAUUUGGCAAAACUGACAGAAAUUCACAGUAUUUCUGCUUUUUUUUCACCAGAAAGAGCACUGAGCCCCCCAGAAUCCACCCACACUGUUUCUGCUGCUGUGUUCAAAAAGCCACGGGGCUCUGGGCCCUUGCUGGCAGGACGGGAGGGACAAGGAACAGCCCUGCAGGUUGGUGACAGAAGGUUUAGCAAAGGGCUCCUGGAAGCCUUCCCUCUGCCAUACUUCCACACGGCGAAUGUUCCCGUUACUACUUGCAAGCUGGUCACAGAGCACAGCAAAUACCAGGUACAAUAAAGACCCAGACAGCAGAACGGAGUAUAAAUAGAUGAUGGAAUUCCUGGCAUCAGCUCUGGAGCAGUUUGGGACUGGAACGAGUGAAAAAUACAGUUUCUCUAAAAGGGAAAUUUCCUGCGAGUAAAAGCCAAAUGUUCCCCCUUGCUCCCCCUCCUUCUUUCCCCAGAUUCCAGUUUUUCACUGGGGAGAAUCCAAGUGUUUCAAGUGAGCUCAAGCAGAAUUUCGCUGUGUUGAACUGGCCUGAUUUGGGAUGCAAACCGACCUCUGAAAGGCUGAAAUUUCCCGUGGGAGCAGAAAUUCGGAAUUUUGCUCAGCUCCAGUUACUCUGUGCAUGGAAAUGGCUUCCAGCAAACAAACAGCGCAGACAGGAGAUGCACCCGGAAGGCUCACGGCCCUUAGGAAGCUCUGGAAAACCCAAGCUGGAUUUAACAUCAGUGAGAAAACCUGGAAUCAGAGCCGUGUCCCAAAACCCGGAGCUUCUGUGUUGGAUGUCUGCACAUCUCAGCCUUAGAGACCUGAGCAGGGCUCUGGUUACGCCCCAUGGAGGGAGACUAUGGAGGCUCAAGUCCUGCGUAUGGGAUGGAUGACACCAUAGGGGACAUGUCAUCUCACGUGAGAUAAGUGACCCACUAUGCACACAGUGUGUUUCUGCUUCAUUCUGCUGAAGACGAGCAUUUACACAGGCCGUUCUGAAAGUAAUGCCUCCUAUUUAUUUCCAAAGAAACAACAACAGAUACAAAGAGCACAAUAAUGCUGUUUGAUAGAGCAAAUUCUCAGCUACAAAACAUUAUUCUUCAACAUGGGCACCACCAUCCACUCUGUAUUUUUGAAAGUAAUGAACAAGAGCCUGUGUGCUGUGCUUGUACAGGCAUGCAUCAGUGGAGGUAACCCACUGUCACCAUCUGAAAUGCAGCACCAACUGUGCUCACUGUGCUCACAUCCACCAUUCGAUCUCCAUAAACACUCAGCAAAUGUUGGUGAAUGUCAAUGGAUGCCAUUUUUUCUGCAUGGAGGAUUUAAUUCCACCCCUUUGCUUCAUACAUGCUUCCAUGACAGACACCAUUUUGCCACGCUGUCCCUCAGCUGUUGUUUGUCACACGGCAACAAAACAUAAUGGGAUACUGGUGGGAAGGUUCAGCCUCUACUGCCAUCCAAUCAACAUCUGCUUCUGAUCAUAUAGCAGGAGGCAAUACUUUCAGAGCAGCCCUUGUAUAAUGGCUCUUUUUAGGUGACAUUUUCUUUUGGAUAAUGGAUACAAAAAGAGGAAAAGGGAGAGCAAACCAAUAGAAAAAUUAUAAUGUGAUUGCUUUUAAGUGGCUUUUUUUGACCCGUUGUUUCGAAAAGGUGCCGCAAAUCAGUCAAAGUUUCCUCUUCCCAUCUGCGAAGGUGCUGUUCUAAAUUCAACCUCGCAUGAAAAUUCAAGCCGCCUCGUCCUCACUGGGGCUUUAAAUCAAAUUAGUUAACUGAAUUAGGAAUGCUUUUUGCUUUUAUACGUUUGGUUGAGACUGAUGAGCCCAGAGCCGUGAAGGAGCUCAGUCUGACUGCAGCUGCUGCCGGACCUGCAUGCAGUGAUCCUCGUGCCCAGAGCUUCCAUGAGCCUGCCCCGUAUUUUCUGCACCAAUGACAAAUACCUGGUGUCAUUGAUAUUCCAUUAGUUUCCUUCACUGAAAGAUCAGACAGCUUUAAAAAGCCAAUAAAUUCCCACACGUUGUCUCUAAGAGAAGGAUAAAGGAUUCCUUGGCGGGCCACACACCAUUAAGCCCCAGAAGCGAGUGGUGUUUUAUGGUUUGCGGAGCUGAGGUCACUGCUUUGGGAUGGAUGCAAUUAAGGCUCGCAGAAGCUACCAAAGCCUGCU